ACAGAUUUUCACCCGAGACGGAUUCACCUGACUCAGCUGAUAACGACAAUAAAGAUUGUGAGGGACAUAAAGAGCUGUACAUCAAGGGGUGUACUGAAGUACUCUAGCUGAAUGUGUACAUGUACAUCCUGAAAGCUGUGAAGACAAAUUGACCAAUAGUGUGCCAUCGUUUAGUUGCAGAGAGACUGGAUGGUCCGUUGUUUUCAUCAUCAGAGGUCACCACUGUGUUGUUAAGUGUGUGGGUGGGCUGGUCAAAAUACCUGACUGACAC
Long non-coding RNA from Liolophura sinensis, 271 nucleotides. RefSeq lists it as uncharacterized. The transcript has 3 exons. NCBI's taxonomy places the organism in Eukaryota, Metazoa, Mollusca, Polyplacophora, Chitonida, Chitonidae. The record is from RefSeq and is a predicted model, not a curated record.